RNAcentral lists this ribosomal RNA (496 nucleotides) under uncultured bacterium. RNAcentral describes it as "partial 16S ribosomal RNA". It matches the Rfam family "Bacterial small subunit ribosomal RNA", at positions 28 to 507 of the family's 1533-position model. The record is from RNAcentral.
GAUGAACGCUGGCGGCGUGCCUAAUACAUGCAAGUAGAACGCUGAAGGAGGAGCUUGCUCUUUCCGGAUGAGUUGCGAACGGGUGAGUAACGCGUAGGUAACCUGCCUGGUAGCGGGGGAUAACUAUUGGAAACGAUAGCUAAUACCGCAUAACAGUAGAUAUUGCAUGAUAUUUGCUUGAAAGGGGCAAUUGCUCCACUACCAGAUGGACCUGCGUUGUAUUAGCUAGUUGGUGAGGUAACGGCUCACCAAGGCGACGAUACAUAGCCGACCUGAGAGGGUGAUCAGCCACACUGGGACUGAGACACGGCCCAGACUCCUACGGGAGGCAGCAGUAGGGAAUCUUCGGCAAUGGACGGAAGUCUGACCGAGCAACGCCGCGUGAGUGAAGAAGGUUUUCGGAUCGUAAAGCUCUGUUGUAAGAGAAGAACGAGUGUGAGAGUGGAAAGUUCACACUGUGACGGUAUCUGACCAGAAAGGGACGGCUAACUACGUG